ACUAUCCUUUUCUUGGGGUGGCGUUACUGUCCAAUUAGCAUGCAGUGAGGGCAGUACUGCUAACGCCUUUAAAAAGAAAAUCCCCAGGUGAUUACAAUAUAUAGCAAAAUUUGGGAACC
RNAcentral lists this non-coding RNA (119 nucleotides) under Myotis brandtii (Brandt's bat). RNAcentral describes it as "U4atac minor spliceosomal RNA". It matches the Rfam family "U4atac minor spliceosomal RNA". Rfam says of the family: U4atac is an essential component of the minor U12-type spliceosome complex which is required for removal of the rarer class of eukaryotic introns (AT-AC, U12-type). These interacting stem loops have been shown to be required for in vivo splicing. U4atac also contains an 3' Sm protein binding site which has been shown to be essential for splicing activity. The record is from Rfam by way of RNAcentral. Lineage: Eukaryota; Metazoa; Chordata; Mammalia; Chiroptera; Vespertilionidae.